Long non-coding RNA from Musa acuminata AAA Group (dessert banana), 800 nucleotides. RefSeq lists it as uncharacterized. The transcript is spliced from 2 exons. The record is from RefSeq and is a predicted model, not a curated record. Lineage: Eukaryota; Viridiplantae; Streptophyta; Magnoliopsida; Zingiberales; Musaceae.
AGCUUUACGGGUUUCAUGUGGAUUCCACAUAUCGAGAGUAAGCAUCAAUUGCAUCAUCGCCACUUCCUUCUCCAAUCACUUGCUUCCUCACCCGAUCUUCCACCACCGUCUGCCGCUGCCGCUGCCGCUGCCGCCUCACUGAUGUAGCAGAAGGGAAACACAAGAAGAUGGAUUGUAAUGUGCCCCAGUACAUAGCUUCACGGUGGGAAUUCUGCAUGGUUGUUUGGUGCGCAUGGCUAGGUGGAAUUGUCUGUCCACCUACAAUGCCUACAGGUGAUGAAGUUUAAGCAAAACCCUCCUGUUGAGUUUUGAGCAUCUUUUGGCUUGAAUUUGGAGUUAACUGAGCUCCCUAUUGUGUUGCUCAUCUCAAGCAUGGACAGAGGGGUUGCAAGCACUGGUUUGGUUAGCAUGUAUGGGAUGUUGCUGCAACAGGAGUUCAUCAUUUCUGGCCAUGCCAAGCAUGUCCUGUAGCUGCUGUUGAUGUAUCUGCAUGUGAGAAUUUUUGAAGCAGCUCUUAGGCCAAGGUACCUGAGCAAGCUUUUGUUCCUAAGAUGUAAAGGAUUUGAAUUCCAAGUAGGCUUUUGAGUUACUUGAUUCCUCUUCUAAGUAUCUCCAAUUACUUUUUACCUUGUGCUCUCUCUCUCUCUCUCUAUAAGUGUUUAUAUGAUGAAGUCUGGUAAUUCCUGGAAAGAUCUUUAGUUUUACCCCAAUAGUUCAUGAGAUAAGCUUAGACUUUGUCAUGCUGUGUUCUCUCUGAUGGAUUCAUUAGUAAUAUGAAGGCAUUGCAGCCUUUCUGGUUG